This 10766-nucleotide long non-coding RNA is filed under the name Homo sapiens (human). RNAcentral describes it as "non-protein coding lnc-LOX-4:10". The record is from RNAcentral. Lineage: Eukaryota; Metazoa; Chordata; Mammalia; Primates; Hominidae.
AUGCCCAGAAAAUAUGGUAAGCUAUGUUAACAAGCCAUAUUAGAUAUCAAGCAUUAAUAUGGAAAUAAACCAGCCCACCUGCACCCAGGUGAAAUAAACAGCUUUAUUGCUCACACAAAGCCUGUUUGGUGGUCUCUUCACAUGGACGCGCAUGAAAUUUGGUGCCGUGACUCGGAUCGGGGGACCUCCCUUGGGAGAUCAAUCCCCUGUCCUCCUGCUCUUUGCUCCGUGAGAAACAUCCACCUAUGGCCUCAGGUCCUCAGACCGACCAGCCCAAGAAACAUCUCACCAAUUUCAAAUCCGGUAAGCGGCCUCUUUUUACUCUCUUCUCCAACCUCCCUCGCUAUCCCUCAACUUCUUUCUCCUUUCAAUCUUGGCGCCACACUUCAAUCUCUCCCUUCUCUUAAUUUCAAUUCCUUUCAUUUUCUGGUAGAGACAAAAGAGACAUGUUUUAUCCGUGAACCCAAAACUCCGGCGCCGGUCACGGACUGGGAAGGCAACCUUCCCUUGGUGUUUAAUCAUUGCAGGGACGCCUCUCUGAUCAUUCAGCCAUGUUUCAAGGGUGUCAGACCACGCAGGGACGCCUGCCUUGGUCCUUCACCCUUAGCGGCAAGUCCCGCUUUCCUAGGGGGCAAGAACCCCCCAAUCGCUUAUUUCUGCACCCUGACCUCUUAUCUCUGUGCCCCAAUCCCUUAUUUCCGUGUCCCAACCCCCUCUCUGCUUUUCUGGAGGGCAAGAACCCCACUCCCCUCCUCCGUGUCUCUAUGCUCUCUUUUCUCAGGGUUUGCCUCCUUCACUAUGGGCAACCUUCCACCUUCCAUUCCUCCUUCUUCUCCCUUGGCCUGUGUUCUCAAAAACUUAAAACCUCUCCAACUCACACCUGACCUAAAACCUAAAUGCCUUAUUUUCUUCUGCAAUGCCGCUUGACCCCAAUACAAACUCGACAGUAGUUCCAAAUAGCCAGAAAAUGGCACUUUGAAUUUUUCCAUCCUGCAAAAUCUAAAUAAUUCUUGUCGUAAAAUAGGCAAACAGUCUGAGGUGCCUGACGUCCAGGCAUUCUUUUACACAUCAGUCCCUUCCUAGUCUCUGUGACCAGUGCAACUCGUCCCAAAUCUUCCUUCUUUCCCUCCCGCCUGUCCCCUCAGUACCAACCCCAAGCGUCGCUGAGCCUUUCUAAUCUUCCUUUUCUACAGACCCAUCUGACCUCUCCCUUCCUCCCCAGCCUGCUUGCUCCUCGCCAGGCCGAGCUAGGUCCCAAUUCUUCCUCAGCCUCUGCUCCUCCACCCUAUAAUCUUUUUAUCACCUCCCCUCCUCACACCUGGUCCGGCUUACAGUUUUGUUCCGUGACUAGCCCUCCCCCUCCUGCCCAGCAGUUUACUCUUAAAAAGGUGGCUGGAGCUAAAAGCAUAGUCAAAGUUAAUGCUCCUUUUUCUUUAUCCCAAAUCAGAUAGCGUUUAGGCUCUUUUUCAUCAAAUAUAAAAAUCCAGCCCAGUUCAUGACUUGUUUGGCAGCAACCCUGAGACACUUUACAGCCCUAGACCCUAAAAGGUCAAAAGGCCGUCUUAUUCUCAAAAUACAUUUUAUUACCCAAUCUGCUCCCGACAUUAAAUAAAACUCCAAAAAUUAAAUUCCGGCCCUCAAACCCCACAACAGGAUUUAAUUAACCUCGCCUUCAAGGUGUACCAUAAUAGAAAAAAGUUGCAAUUCCUUGCCUCCACUGUGAGACAAACCCCAGCCACAUCUCCAGCACACAAGAACUUCCAAACGCCUGAACUGCAGCGGCCAGGCGUUCCUCCAGAACCUCCUCCCACAGGAGCUUGCUACAUGUGACGGAAAUCUGGCCACUGGGCCAAGGAAUGCCCGCAGCCCGGGAUUCCUCCUAAGCCGUAUCCCAUCUGUGUGGGACCCCAGUGAAAAUCGGACUGUUCAACUCACCUGGCAGCCACUCCCAGAGCCCCUGGAACUCUGGCCCAAGGCUCUCUGACCGACUCCUUCCCAGAUCUUCUCGGCUUAGCGGCUGAAGACUGACACUGCCCAAUCGCCUCGGAAGCCCCCUAGACCAUCACGCACGCCGAGCUUCGGGUAACUCUCACAGUGGAAGGUAAGCCCGUCCCCUUCUUAAUCAAUACGGAGGCUACUCACUCCACGUUACCCUCUUUUCAAGGGCCUGUUUCCCUUGCCUCCAUAACUGUUGUGGGUAUUGACGGCCAGGCUUCUAAACCUCUUAAAACUCCCCAACUCUGGUGCCAACUUAGACAAUACUCUUUUAAGCACUCCUUUUUAGUUAUCCCCACCUGCCCAGUUCCCUUAUUAGGCUGAGACACUUUAACUAAAUUAUCUGCUUCCCUGACUAUUCCUGGACUACAGCUGUAUCUCAUUGCUGACCUUCUUCCCAAUCCAAAGCCUCCUUUGUGUCCUCCUCUUCUAUCCCCCCACCUUAACCCACAAGUAUAAGAUACCUCUACUCCCUCCUUGGCGACCGAUCAUGCACCCCUUACCAUCUCAUUAAAACCUAAUCACCCUUACCCCACUCAACACCAAUAUCCCAUCCCGCAGCACGCUUUAAAAAGAUUAAAGCCUAUUAUCACUCGCCUGCUACAGCAUGGCCUUUUAAAGCCUAUAAACUCUCCUUACAAUUCCCCCAUUUUACCUGUCCUAAAACCAGACAAGCCUUACAAGUUAGUUCAGGAUCUGCGCCUUAUCAACCAAAUUGUUUUGCCUAUACACCCCGUGGUGCCAAACCCAUAUACUCUCCUAUCCUCAAUACCUGCCUCUACAACCCAUUAUUCUGUUCUAGAUCUCAAACAUGCUUUCUUUACUAUUCAUUUGCACCCUUAAUCCCAGCCUCUCUUCGCUUUCACUUGGACUGACCCUGACACCCAUCAAGCUCAGCAAAUUACCUAGGCUGUACUGCUGCAAAGCUUCACAGACAGCCCCCAUUACUUCCAUCAAGCCCAAAUUUCUUCCUCAUCUGUUACCUAUCUCGGCAUAAUUCUCAUAAAAACACACGUGCUCUCCCUGCCAAUCGUGUCCGACUGAUCUCUCAAACCCAAGCACCUUCUACAAAACUCCUUUCCUUCCUAGGCAUGGUUAGCGCGGUCAGAGUUUUUACACAAGAGCCAGGACCACACCCUGUAGCCUUUCUGUCCAAACAACUUGACCUUACUGUUUUAGCCUAGCCCUCAUGUCUGCGUGCAGUGGCUGCCGCUGCUUUAAUACUUUUAGAGGCCCUCAAAAUAAGUAGAGGCUUUUCCUACAGGGUCUGAGAAGGCCACCGCAGUCAUUUCUUCUGUUCUGUCAGACAUAAUUCCUCAGUUUAGCCUUCCCACCUCAAUACAGUCUGAUAACAGAUGAGCCUUUAUUAGUCAUAUCAGCCAAGCAGUUUUUCAGGCUCUUAGUAUUGAGUGAAACCUUUAUAUCCCUUAUGGUCCUCCAUCUUCAAGAAAAGUAGAAUGGACUAAAGGUCUUUUAAAAACACACCUCACCAAGCUCAGCCACCAACUUAAAAAGGACUGGACAAUACUUUUUACCACUUUCCCUUCUCAGAAUUCAGGCCUGUCCUCAGAAUGCUACAGGGUACAGCCCAUUUAAGGUCCUGUAUAGACGCUCCUUUUUAUUAGGCCCCAGUCUCAUUCCAGACACCAGACCAACUUAGACUGUGCCUCAAAAAAAAAAAAAAAAAACAAAAAACUUGUCAUCCCUACUAUUUUCUGUCUAGCCAUACUCCUAUUCACCCUUCUCAACUACUCAUACCUGCCCUGCUCUUGUUUACACUGUUUCUCCAAGCCAUCACAGCUGAUAUCUCCUGGUGCUAUCCCCAAACUGCCACUCUUAACUCUUGAAGUAAAUAAAUAAUCUUUGCUGGCAGGACUAUGCCAAAUCUCCUUAAGCACUCUCUAAUCAGACAUCAAGUCGUCCCAUUUCUUAGACCUUUUAUACCUGUUUUUCUCCUUCUGUUAUUCCAUUUAGUUUUUCAAUUCAUACAAAACCGUAUCCAGGCCAUCACCUAUCAUUCUAUACGACAAAUGUUUCUUCUAGCAUCCCCACAAUAUCACCCCUUACCACACGACCUCCCUCCAGCUUAAUCUCUCCCACUCUAGGUUCCCACGCCACCCCUAAUCCCGCUUGAAGCAGCCCUGAGAAACAUCGCCCAUUCUCGCUCCAUACCACCCCCCAAAAAAUUUUCGCCGCCCCAACACUUCAACACUAUUUUGUUUUAUUUUUCUUAUUAAUAUAAGAAGGCAGGAAUGUCAGGCCUCUGAGCCCAAGCCAAGCCAUCGCAUCCCCUGUGACUUGCACGUAUACGCCCAGAUGGCCUGAAGUAACUGAAGAAUCACAAAAGAAGUGAAUAUGCCUUGCCCCACCUUAACUGAUGACAUUCCACCACAAAAGAAGUGUAAAUGGCCGGUCCUUGCCUUAACUGAUGACAUUACCCUGUGAAAGUCCUUUUCCUGGCUCAUCCUGGCUCAAAAAGCUCCCCCACUGAGCACCUUGCGACCCCCACUCCUACCCGCCAGAGAACAAACCCCCUUUGACUGUAAUUUUCCUUUACCUACCCAAAUCCUAUAAAACGGCCCCACCCUUAUCUCCCUUCGCUGACUCUCUUUUCGGACUCAGCCCACCUGCACCCAGGUGAAAUAAACAGCUUUAUUGCUCACAAAAAAAAAAAAAAAAAAGACUGCCUGUUUUAGUGUGAUGCCUUAACCAUUGACUUAUUGGAAAUUUACCAACAAGAUGAUGCAUAAUCCCAAGAACUUUGUCCUUCACGGGUAUUUAUUCCACAGGUCAAGGAGAAUAUGAAGUAUUUAUUAGCUUUAAGGUGGUUUUUACCUUAUUGAACCACAUACAUACCAAUAAAAUGUGGCUUUAUGAGGGAUAUAUUUUAGUUCUUUUAUGGUUAAAAUAUGAAGUGCCAAUUCUUACACUAAAAGAGCUAUUCAAUCCCUCUCUUACAAUUCUCUGCUUUUAGAAUUGACUCUUCCCCCCCUUUCUAUACUUGUACUGGAUUGGGUACUUGUCUUGGUCAAGUGACUCGGUUCAAAUUGGAACAUUUCUGUGCAGGUAGGCCCAUAGAAAUGAUUAUGCCUGGAGAAAGACUGUUUGCAUUAAUGGUUGCACCAACCUAAAAAUGUCAGUAAGGAUAGUGGAAUCUCAUUGUCUGCAGGUUUAGUAAAGAAGGUGCAUGCUUUCGUGUGUCUGGAAUCAUGUGUAUGAGCUACGUCCGGAAACACCUGGGAGGCAGCUGAUCUCUCAGGUCUCUGCCCAGCAUACCAUACUUUCUCAACAUGUGUUUAUUACUGAAAAGCAGAAGAGAAAAUCCUCUUGACCAUAUAAUAAAAUAAGAGGCUAUAAUAGCAAGUAGUCACUUUAUUGCUGAUGGUUUCUAACAGUGUAAUCUUCCAAAAACUAAUGUCAGCCAAACCUGCAACAUUUAGGAGACUGGGGUGCUCUGAACUUGUGCUUUGGAAAAUGCUAAUACUUCCUUGAAACUUCAUCUGAGAGUUCUCAUUCUGCAAUACUCAUUGCACAACAGAGGAAAUUUUCAGCUCUGGUUUUACAUUUUCUUCUCUUUUGCGGGCUUGGGGACAGACCUCAAUGUUAUUUUAACUUAGUUUCCUCCAGGCAAGGAGAUUUACUUAAUUGGGUAGCCACUCAAGAAACCCUGUUCCUGCACAUUUUGUAUAACACAGGCCGUGUGCUCCUUUUGGUUUGUGGUGUGUCUGGAAAACAAAAGGAACACAGGAGAAAGGGGAAGCUCGGCCUGUGAAACAUGUCUGGAAGGAGGCUGAAGGAUAUUUAAAUAAAGUGAUUAUUUUUAAGUGUCCAUUGGGCCUAGGUAAGUCCCAGCAAAAUGGCCCUAAAAUCAGAGGUGUGAUUUUUCUGGGUUGUCAGAGUUUAAGUCUGGAAAGGAACAAUAUCUAGGCAUUCACUUGGAAUGUGGCUAUUGUACAUAUAAGCAGAAAGAAGGAUUUUCCAUUCUCUUCUUAUUCCUCUAAAGCUUAAUGAUGAAUUGCUUCCUGCUGGAGACUUACUACAAUCCAGCAGUUGUUGGGAAUAUGACAUCCCAGAAUUGUCUUGCAGAUGUGUGUGCAGGUCCAGAGAGACAUGGAGGUCUGUAGCCAGGAUGCCAGUAACCCAGUCAGACAAGACACAAAUAGAAUGGUUCCCUUCUUGAAGUCUUUACAGGUUUUGGAAAUUGGCUAUGACAAUUAGUCCUACAUGUGUGCUGAAAAAGGCAACCACCAAUAUAAUGACUAGUAACUUCUCAAUCUAACUUAAUAUUUACUCCCCAUACCUGCUAUUUACUGCCUGUAACUAGUUUAUUAAAACUUUAAGUAUAUUUAUUUUUAAAAGUACAUCUUUUUCAACAUAGAUGAAUUAAGAAAAUCCAUGCUAUCAACAACGAUAGAUAACAACUUUAGUAACUUGCUUACUUGUUUCUUGUGCUAAAUUAAUGUAAAUAUGGAGAGUGAUUAUGUGAGAGAGAAACUUAAGGGAAGAGACAACAACUAUGAGUUAUUCACCUACAAACAGCAAAAUUUUUUGAGUAAGAGACAAGAAACGUGAGAAGAAAAAAAUUGCAGGGAGCUUAAUGUAAAGCAGAAGUUCUCUUCUACCUCUUACUAACCUUUAUUUAUUUAUUUUUUUGAAUGCAGAUAACAUAUUUUAGCUGUGCUGUAGGGUGAGUCUUCCUCAAUCACAUAUCACCUGCCCCCACCCCACUAGCCUGUCUUCCUCCCACUAAGCCAAAACCUGGUCCUUGAACCUGGAACUUAUGAGGCAUAAGCGAACAGCAGAUGGCUCUUUGUAAUACAACUCAAGUUGAGAAAGGAAAUAGACUCAGCAUAAGUUACAGGAGACAUAGAUAUCAGCACUAAGUUAAUCUUUGCGGAGAGGAGAGAAGGCCUGUGCCACUGCCCCCUCCACUUAUAGGAUCUUAAGCACCAUCCUCACCCCAAACUACCACCGUACCCAGCAGGGGAGGGAGAGAGAGUAGCGAGAAAGGACAGCCCAAGGUGAGUGCUUAACCCAGGAGGAGGCUGACCCUUGGAAAAACAGGGGGAGUAGAAGGAUGAGGGUGAGGAGGAGGGUCAGGGGAGCGUGUCAGUUCAGGCGGUCUGAGAAGCAGCCCUCCAAAUGGGACUAGAUGUGCAAGAGAUUUAUUACGGGCCUUGCCUCUGAAGGAUAAAGGAGGAGGGCGCAGGUGUAGGCAGCAACGUCUUUCUGAUACUGUGAGAGUGGCUCGGAAGGAGGAUGGGGUAGGAAGAGCUCUAGACUGCAACACAUUCAGAAAAAAAUUUAGCCAGGUCAAGGGGAGUCCCAGACCACAGUUUGCCCUUGGAAGAGUCUCAGGGUGGGAGGAUAUGCCCUGGCUGUCAUCCCUCUGCUGUGCUCAGUCACUGGCCUUGGGGUGAGCGCACAAUAGAGCUGAAGGUGUCCCUACAGCAGGCUUUCUUGCAGAGAGCUCUUAGCGGGGUAAUUCAGGGCUGCCACAAGGAGGGGUACAUUGCAUUGACGUGGAGUGCUCCUUAGAGGGACUCUCAGGAUCUAGGACUAAGGCCCUGGAUCUGGGUCAGAGCAAGGAGACGAAUUAAACAGAGAACUCCCUUUUGAAUCUCUGCCCACCUGUCUGUAGGUUGGAAAAUAUUAAGGGCUGUUUGACUCUUUUCCAAGAUUCUCUGAGCUUGACAAGCUACCAGUAAGGCCAUUUGGCUGUGAACACGUAGUACUAUGCUCCUAUCUGUGAUUCUCAUUUUGACACUUAAUCACAUUACAUGUGGACAUGGGCAGCCAGUCACUGCAUCUGAGUAUAUAUUGGUCAGCCUCUAUUAAAUGCAAACCUUACAGGGCACCUGCUUGGCCUCAGCCAAACCAAAAGUGGUUUCUCCCUCCUCUCAGCUACAUUGAGUCCCUCCACACAUAUUGUUUUUUGUCUUGCACUUUAUAUAUUUGCGUAUGUGAUUUCUCCCAGCGUCCACAGACAGUAAGCAACUUGAAGAUAACAAUUGUCUUACACUUUGAAUCAGCACUGCCUUGCACACACAAUUGGUGUGGACUUCAACAUCAGUUAUUAGGUUGCUGCAAACAUAAUUGCAGUUUUUGCCAUUAAAGGUAAUGGCAAUUAUGUUUGCACCAACCUAAUAAAUAAAACAAAGGGGCAGGAUUGGGCAGAUAGAAAGGUAGGGUGGAAAAAACACGAUGGAAACAUUUAUUUUUAUUUCAGCCUACUUAUUCUCAGAAGGUCUUUAAAAUAGAAGACAUAGGUGUGUUACAGCCAUUAAACAGGAUAAAAAUGUAAGAACAAAGGAAGAGGGUGGAGUUGGAGACAGCUUGUUAUACCAGAAAAAACUAGGCUAAGGAUUGCUACUGAGAUUAAAUGCAAACUUUGCUUUUGACCUUUUCCUGGCAAGCAAGACAAAAAGGGAAAACACGAGUUAUAUAAGGUUCUUAUUAGCUAAUAAAAAGAAGCAUGCCAGUUUUUCCUAUAGAAGCAUUUUUUUCUCUAGUACUAACUCUAAGAGGAAUUUAUUUUAUGGCCCCUUAUAGAGCCAUUGAAUUUUAAAAUAUAUGAUGGUUUCAAUAAGAGUUUUAUAAAAAAUAUAUGGAAACUUUUUUCUAUAUGACUAUUUCUUAUAUUGAUUUUUGAUAAAUGCCAUAGUUUAUAGAUGACAUUUCUAUGGAAACUUAGGGUGUAGUUUAACCAUCAGCAGUGAAAUGAAUUUGAGCCCAUAGCUUUUGGAAGGACCCUGGAAAUGGUACAUUUCAAUAAUAAUGACCACAAAAUUAUAUCCAAAUAGAAUAUAACUUUGGCUGCAUUUCUUUGACAUUUGGCUUAAUAGCUCUGUUCCGGUAUACACAUUUUGAUUUGACAUUGGGCUUUCAUGAUAGUUAGAAUAGUCUAAAUUCCAUAUAUGUGUAAUGACCUAAAAUUGAUUCCAGCACAUCCUAAACUAAACAUUAGUAGAAAUCACUCUGGGGGAUGUGAAAGGUAUUCUAAAAGACCUCUGGUUUAUAAAUCAGUUUAAGCACCCAACCCAAUUAAACAAGUUUCUUUUGUACUCUGGGACUUCUUCGAGAUAUGAACAUGAUAAUAUAUCAUUACAGACUGGAUUCCCUGGUAAGUAGACUCUGACCUAGAGAUUAAUGUGCAGGAAGUUUAUUAUAGAUGGCUCUUGGGAUCAACGUCUAUAUUACGGAAGAGAAAGAGGCUGUGUCAGGUAGAGGAAGAAGUUGGGACAAACCCGUGGGGGAGGUCUGAAGCUGGGAUGGCUUUCUGGGAUUGUCCAAAGUUAUGUUAGGGGCUGGGUCUAUAUACCUGCACAUUGACCACUACUGGAUAUGGGCUGCCCAGGGAAAGGUUGUGCUCUUGGGCAAGGUGACUUUCUUCAGCCAAGGGCAGUUCCUGGAGAAGGCUAAGACCUGAAAGCUCUGGGCCAGCAGUACCGCCAGCAGCUGGGGGACUAUGUCCUUUGUUUCUGAAGGUGGGGCUUCACAGUGUAUGUCAGGACUUUGUAUGCACUGUUUACCUAACUAAUUAGCAAAAUAUACAUUAAUCCUGGAGCAUAGCCAAACAUCCCCUAGUCCUAGUGGUAAAUAGAAUAUGAUUUGUGAAAUGCUGCUUUAUUCCAGUGGUGUAUUCUUUAUUCUGUCAAUUGAGUAUUUCAGUUAGGUUGUAUAUUUGGCUGCUCCUACCAGAAGACAGAUAUCAGUGAUUUAGUCAAUUAGGAGAGUUUUUUUACUCAAUAAGUAAUAUGUACAAUUCAGGGCUCACAUAGCUGCACAAGGAGCUGGGUUCCUUAUCUUUCCUUUUUUUCUUUUUUUUAAAGAAUCUGACUUUUGUCUUUAUGGCUAAAGAAGCAGUGCUGUAUCCCACAGUAGUACAAAGGGCAAAAGAUGAGUGCCAGGCAUGGAUUGCAGAUUUCCACAGUCCAUGGUGACCAGACUGCAACUUACAGCAUCCAUGUAGAAUGGUCCACGGCACGCACGACAUUUCCGCUGAUAACCAAAACAGGGAAACCUUGCUAUUUUCUGUGAUCUCCCUCAGAGUUUUGACUGAGAGCACAUCUAUAAGUCUCAUCUACUAAGAAAUGGAUUUUGGUUCAAGGCAUGAAAACUUGUAUUUGAAGUGCCCAAAUGGAAACUCACUGUGGGCAUUGGGCUCUCACCAUUGGCCAAGAUUCCCUGCCCCGGUGAGGCCGGAAGCAGUUCAGACACCUGACUUCUGGCAACAUGUGAGCCUGACCCAAGCAGAUCACUGGUGACCAGUAAAUAUUGAAGCUCCAAGGUUCUUCCUUUAACAUACUGAAUUAAUGAGCCCCCUAGGGGCAUCCCCUAAAAUGACUGAGAUUUAAUUUCUCUCUAGCCUGAAUAAAGACUUAGAGCAGAUUAAAUUUGAUUUAGAGGAAGAAAAAAGCAGAGUGACUUUCUUACAACUUAGUAUUCUCAACUAAAAUUCAUACCCACAACACACAAAUACAUCCACACCAACACCCACCUAUCCACCUACCCACAUGCAUGCUUUGGAGGAUUUUGGAAGAGUGCUGAAUGGCAUGUUAUAAUUUUUCAAUUCGUUUAAAUAUUUAAAAAGUGAUAGUCUUUUAUGACUGGGUGCGGUGGCUCACGCCUGUAAACCCAGCACUUUGGAAGGCUGAGGCAGGUGGAUCAUUUGAGGCCAGGAGUUUGAGACCAGCCUGAGCAACGUGGCAAAACACCAUUCUACUAAAAUUAGAAAAAUUAGCCAGAUGUGGUGGCACAGGCCUGUGAUC